GACCAGACUCCUACGGGAGGCAGCAGUGGGGAAUAUUGCACAAUGGGGGAAACCCUGAUGCAGCGACGCCGCGUGAGUGAAGAAGUAUUUCGGUAUGUAAAGCUCUAUCAGCAGGGAAGAAAAUGACGGUACCUGACUAAGAAGCCCCGGCUAACUACGUGCCAGCAGCCGCGGUAAUACGUAGGGGGCAAGCGUUAUCCGGAUUUACUGGGUGUAAAGGGAGCGUAGACGGCAUGGCAAGUCAGAUGUGAAAGCCCGGGGCUCAACCCCGGGACUGCAUUUGAAACUGUCAGGCUGGAGUGCAGGAGAGGUAAGUGGAAUUCCUAGUGUAGCGGUGAAAUGCGUAGAUAUUAGGAGGAACACCAGUGGCGAAGGCGGCUUACUGGACUGUAACUGACGUUGAGGCUCGAAAGCGUGGGGAGCAAACAGGAUUAGAUACCCCUGUAGC
Molecule: ribosomal RNA, 448 nt
Filed under: uncultured bacterium
Lineage: Bacteria
Description: bacterial SSU rRNA
Rfam family: Bacterial small subunit ribosomal RNA
Source: RNAcentral